GAUGAAGAACGCAGCGAAAUGCGAAAAGUAGUGUGAAUUGCAGAAUUCAGUGAAUCAUCGAAUCUUUGAACGCACAUUGCGCCCCUUGGUAUUCCAUGGGGCAUGCCUGUUCGAGCGUCAUUUGUACCUUCAAGCCUUGCUUGGUGUUGGGUGUUUGUCUCGCCUCUGCGCGCAGACUCGCCUCAAAACAAUUGGCAGCCGGCGUAUUGAUUUCGGAGCGCAGUACAUCUCGCGCUUUGCACUCAGAACGACGACGUCCAAAAGUACAUUUUUACACUCUUGACCUCGGAUCAGGUAGGGAUACCCGCUGAACUUAAGCAUAUCAAUAAGCGGAGGA
RNAcentral lists this unclassified non-coding RNA (337 nucleotides) under soil metagenome. Its description in RNAcentral is "partial contains 5.8S ribosomal RNA, internal transcribed spacer 2, and large subunit ribosomal RNA". The stretch from base 1 to 120 matches the Rfam family "5.8S ribosomal RNA", at positions 35 to 154 of the family's 154-position model. The record is from RNAcentral.